GACGAACGCUGGCGGCGUGCUUAAUACAUGCAAGUCGAACGGAAAGGCCCUGCUUUUGUGGGGUGCUCGAGUGGCGAACGGGUGAGUAACACGUGAGUAACCUGCCCUUGACUUUGGGAUAACUUCAGGAAACUGGGGCUAAUACCGGAUAGGAGCUCCUGCUGCAUGGUGGGGGUUGGAAAGUUUCGGCGGUUGGGGAUGGACUCGCGGCUUAUCAGCUUGUUGGUGGGGUAGUGGCUUACCAAGGCUUUGACGGGUAGCCGGCCUGAGAGGGUGACCGGCCACAUUGGGACUGAGAUACGGCCCAGACUCCUACGGGAGGCAGCAGUGGGGAAUAUUGCAAAAUGGGCGGAAGCCUGAUGCAGCAACGCCGCGUGCGGGAUGACGGCCUUCGGGUUGUAAACCGCUUUCGCCUGUGACGAAGCGUGAGUGACGGUAAUGGGUAAAGAAGCACCGGCUAACUACGUG
Molecule: ribosomal RNA, 468 nt
Filed under: uncultured bacterium
Lineage: Bacteria
Description: partial 16S ribosomal RNA
Rfam family: Bacterial small subunit ribosomal RNA
Source: RNAcentral